RNAcentral lists this transfer RNA (91 nucleotides) under Tissierella pigra. RNAcentral's name for it is "Tissierella sp. DSM 105185 tRNA-Ser". It matches the Rfam family "tRNA". Rfam says of the family: Transfer RNA (tRNA) molecules are approximately 80 nucleotides in length. Their secondary structure includes four short double-helical elements and three loops (D, anti-codon, and T loops). Lineage: Bacteria; Bacillati; Bacillota; Tissierellia; Tissierellales; Tissierellaceae. The record is from RNAcentral. RNAcentral also lists the same sequence under 1 other name.
GGAGAGAUGGCUGAGCUGGCUGAAGGCGCUCGCCUGGAAAGCGGGUAAACGUGAAAGCGUUUCGAGGGUUCGAAUCCCUCUCUCUCCGCCA